Long non-coding RNA from Acipenser ruthenus (sterlet), 380 nucleotides. RefSeq lists it as uncharacterized. The transcript has 4 exons. Lineage: Eukaryota; Metazoa; Chordata; Actinopteri; Acipenseriformes; Acipenseridae. The record is from RefSeq and is a predicted model, not a curated record.
UCUCUUUGUUUUAGGGUAUCAUGAAAAUCCACCUCUCCCUCCCCUGAAUCUAAUCCACUUGAGAGUCAACUUCACCCUCUCCAACCUGACCUUCUCUCCAGAACUGCUGGACCCAAAGAGCCCAGUCAGACACAAUGUGACCAGCCUGGUGAUCCAAGCCUUCAAAAACAGCAGUUUGUCUUCUACCUUUUCUUCUUGCAAACUGGUUUCUCUCAGUUCUGGGUCCACCAACGGUACGGCAGUCAGCCUCGAUUGCACCUUCCUCAACAACACAUCAGUAUCUCCCAUUGACAAAGUGACAGCUUACAAGAAGCUGAAUGAGGAAACCAAGAACUGCACCUCCUUGGGAUCAUAUACAAUGAACAGCAAUAGUCUCUAUG